RNAcentral lists this unclassified non-coding RNA (24 nucleotides) under Mus musculus (house mouse). Its description in RNAcentral is "oocyte_clustered_small_RNA13458". Lineage: Eukaryota; Metazoa; Chordata; Mammalia; Rodentia; Muridae. The record is from RNAcentral.
GGCGGUGAAGGAGGCAGACGACGA